CCUAGAGUUGUAGGCUUUGCCUGCUAUCUCUUACCCAUGUCUUUUGAGUACCUUCGUUUCCUCGGCGGGUCCGCCCGCCGAUUGGACAAUUUAAACCAUUUGCAGUUGCAAUCAGCGUCUGAAAUAACUUAAUAGUUA
This 138-nucleotide unclassified non-coding RNA is filed under the name soil metagenome. RNAcentral describes it as "partial internal transcribed spacer 1". The record is from RNAcentral.